This 399-nucleotide long non-coding RNA is filed under the name Phoenix dactylifera (date palm). RNAcentral's name for it is "long non-coding RNA (PDAC_LNC011381)". The record is from RNAcentral. Lineage: Eukaryota; Viridiplantae; Streptophyta; Magnoliopsida; Arecales; Arecaceae.
AUUUGUCUACCUUGACAAGAACAUCUUCAAUUAUCCCACGUGGUGUUUUUACAGAUCGAUCAGCCAAUUGAAGGGAUACUGAGGUUGGUUUUAACUCACCUAACCCAAGUUUCUCAUAAACUGAGUAAGGUAAAAGGUUGACACUUGCCCCUAGAUCUAAGAGUGCUCGAUCAAUGAAAUUAUUUCCUAAGACACAGGAGAUGGUGGGAGCACCAGGAUCUUUGAAUUUCGGAGGGGUGUUGUGUUGGAGAAUAGAACUCACUUGCUCAGUUAGGAAGACCUUUUUAGGCACAUGUGUACUAGAUUUUCGCUUUUGGGUACAAAGGUCUUUGAGAAAUUUGGCAUAGGAGGGAACUUGUCUAAUAGCAUCAAGGAGUGGGAGGUUGAUUUUAACUUGUU